GUGGGGAAUAUUGGACAAUGGGCGCAAGCCUGAUCCAGCCAUGCCGCGUGAGUGAUGAAGGCCUUAGGGUUGUAAAGCUCUUUCGUCAGGGAAGAUAAUGACGGUACCUGAAGAAGAAGCCCCGGCUAACUUCGUGCCAGCAGCCGCGGUAAUACGAAGGGGGCUAGCGUUGCUCGGAAUCACUGGGCGUAAAGCGCACGUAGGCGGCUUUCUAAGUCAGGGGUGAAAUCCUGGAGCUCAACUCCAGAACUGCCUUUGAUACUGGAGAGCUUGAGUUCGGGAGAGGUGAGUGGAACUGCGAGUGUAGAGGUGAAAUUCGUAGAUAUUCGCAAGAACACCAGUGGCGAAGGCGGCUCACUGGUCUGGUACUGACGCUGAGGUGCGAAAGCGUGGGGAGCAAACAGGAUUAGAUACCCCGGUAGUCC
Molecule: ribosomal RNA, 425 nt
Filed under: uncultured bacterium
Lineage: Bacteria
Description: bacterial SSU rRNA
Rfam family: Bacterial small subunit ribosomal RNA
Source: RNAcentral